CCAAAACUGUACACAUCAGUCUUGAUAGUUAGCUGGCCUGUUUUUAUAUAUUCUGGAGCACAGUACCCAUAUGUGCCCAUCACUCGAGUUGAGACGUGCGUCUUUUCCCCAACAGGCCCAAGCUUUGCGAGCCCGAAGUCUGAGAGUUUAGGGUUGUAUUCCUCAUCAAGAAGGAUGUUGGGGGACUUGAGAUCCCGGUAG
This 201-nucleotide ribosomal RNA is filed under the name Triticum aestivum (bread wheat). RNAcentral's name for it is "partial small subunit ribosomal RNA". The record is from RNAcentral. Lineage: Eukaryota; Viridiplantae; Streptophyta; Magnoliopsida; Poales; Poaceae.